This is a long non-coding RNA of Acromyrmex echinatior (Panamanian leafcutter ant), 197 nucleotides long. Lineage: Eukaryota; Metazoa; Arthropoda; Insecta; Hymenoptera; Formicidae. The record is from RefSeq and is a predicted model, not a curated record.
GCCACGAGGGUAAUUUUUCUACAAGGGCUAGGUAAUUCAGCGGCAAUCCAACGAAAUUUUAAGUAAACCAAGAGUACGAAUACACAAGCGUUUAAAAAUUACGAAAUGCAUCCUUAUCUACAACUUUUGGGACGCUCCUGAGCCAAAGCGUCACGUACAUGGCAAAGCCAACGAAUCAAGAGCGGUAAUGGGGGGAC